CCUACGGGAGGCAGCAGUGGGGAAUAUUGCACAAUGGGGGAAACCCUGAUGCAGCCAUGCCGCGUGUGUGAAGAAGGCCUUCGGGUUGUAAAGCACUUUCAGCGAGGAGGAAAGGUUGGCAGCUAAUAUCUGUCAGCUGUGACGUACUCG
Molecule: ribosomal RNA, 150 nt
Filed under: uncultured Aeromonas sp.
Lineage: Bacteria; Pseudomonadati; Pseudomonadota; Gammaproteobacteria; Aeromonadales; Aeromonadaceae
Description: partial 16S ribosomal RNA
Rfam family: Bacterial small subunit ribosomal RNA
Source: RNAcentral